Molecule: transfer RNA, 76 nt
Filed under: Caudoviricetes sp.
Lineage: Duplodnaviria; Heunggongvirae; Uroviricota; Caudoviricetes
Description: tRNA-His
Rfam family: tRNA
About the family: Transfer RNA (tRNA) molecules are approximately 80 nucleotides in length. Their secondary structure includes four short double-helical elements and three loops (D, anti-codon, and T loops). Further hydrogen bonds mediate the characteristic L-shaped molecular structure. tRNAs have two regions of fundamental functional importance: the anti-codon, which is responsible for specific mRNA codon recognition, and the 3' end, to which the tRNAs corresponding amino acid is attached (by aminoacyl-tRNA synthetases). tRNAs cope with the degeneracy of the genetic code in two manners: having more than one tRNA (with a specific anti-codon) for a particular amino acid; and 'wobble' base-pairing, i.e. permitting non-standard base-pairing at the 3rd anti-codon position.
Source: RNAcentral
GGUGUUGUUAGUGUAACGGUAAACACGCAAGAUUGUGAAUCUUGAGAUAAGAGUUCAAUUCUCUUACUUCACCCUA